This 784-nucleotide ribosomal RNA is filed under the name Salmonella enterica subsp. enterica serovar Bovismorbificans. Its description in RNAcentral is "partial 23S ribosomal RNA". It matches the Rfam family "Bacterial large subunit ribosomal RNA", at positions 593 to 1376 of the family's 2925-position model. The record is from RNAcentral. Lineage: Bacteria; Pseudomonadati; Pseudomonadota; Gammaproteobacteria; Enterobacterales; Enterobacteriaceae.
GUGACUGCGUACCUUUUGUAUAAUGGGUCAGCGACUUAUAUUCUGUAGCAAGGUUAACCGAAUAGGGGAGCCGGAGGGAAACCGAGUCUUAAUUGGGCGUUAAGUUGCAGGGUAUAGACCCGAAACCCGGUGAUCUAGCCAUGGGCAGGUUGAAGGUUGGGUAACACUAACUGGAGGACCGAACCGACUAAUGUUGAAAAAUUAGCGGAUGACCUGUGGCUGGGGGUGAAAGGCCAAUCAAACCGGGAGAUAGCUGGUUCUCCCCGAAAGCUAUUUAGGUAGCGCCUCGUGAAUUCAUCUCCGGGGGUAGAGCACUGUUUCGGCUAGGGGGCCAUCCCGGCUUACCAACCCGAUGCAAACUGCGAAUACCGGAGAAUGUUAUCACGGGAGACACACGGCGGGUGCUAACGUCCGUCGUGAAGAGGGAAACAACCCAGACCGCCAGCUAAGGUCCCAAAGUCAUGGUUAAGUGGGAAACGAUGUGGGAAGGCCCAGACAGCCAGGAUGUUGGCUUAGAAGCAGCCAUCAUUUAAAGAAAGCGUAAUAGCUCACUGGUCGAGUCGGCCUGCGCGGAAGAUGUAACGGGGCUAAACCAUGCACCGAAGCUGCGGCAGCGACGUUUAUGCGUUGUUGGGUAGGGGAGCGUUCUGUAAGCCUGCGAAGGUGGCCUGUGAGGGUUGCUGGAGGUAUCAGAAGUGCGAAUGCUGACAUAAGUAACGAUAAAGCGGGUGAAAAGCCCGCUCGCCGGAAGACCAAGGGUUCCUGUCCAACGUUAAUCGGGGCA